RNAcentral lists this ribosomal RNA (252 nucleotides) under uncultured Bacteroidales bacterium. Its description in RNAcentral is "partial 16S ribosomal RNA". It matches the Rfam family "Bacterial small subunit ribosomal RNA", at positions 524 to 776 of the family's 1533-position model. The record is from RNAcentral. Lineage: Bacteria; Pseudomonadati; Bacteroidota; Bacteroidia; Bacteroidales.
UACGGAGGAUGCGAGCGUUAUCCGGAUUUAUUGGGUUUAAAGGGUGCGUAGGCGGAACAUUAAGUCAGCGGUAAAAUCGAGGGGCUCAACCCCUUUAAGCCGUUGAAACUGGUGAUCUUGAGUGGGAGAGAAGUAUGCGGAAUGCGCGGUGUAGCGGUGAAAUGCAUAGAUAUCGCGCAGAACUCCGAUUGCGAAGGCAGCAUGCCGGCUCCACACUGACGCUGAUGCUCGAAAGUGUGGGUAUCAAACAGG